UAUUAUAACAUGCUUCGUUUUGUUCAACCAGCUAUCUGGUAAACUGUAACGAAGUAUGGUAGGACGAACACAAGCACCUGUGCUUGGCACGCGCGGAUAGACCGGUGCCGAAAUGGCCAUGGCGCAGAUGUUUCGGCUUCGUCGUCAGGUGCGGCAACAGCUCAACCAUCUAAACUUUCCAACUGCCCCCAACCACAUACUAUCCUGGCGUCAACAUUCCUCUGCACCGCAGGAGCCAGCCGCAGUACUGCUGCUGCUGCGCUCGCAACUAUUCCGAUGGGCGUCACGCCACCUCAGCGCCGCAGCGGAAGCGGCCCCUCCGGGCCACAGGGACGACGCCCAGACACAGCCCUCCCAGGCCCGCAGGC
Molecule: long non-coding RNA, 368 nt
Filed under: Volvox carteri
Lineage: Eukaryota; Viridiplantae; Chlorophyta; Chlorophyceae; Chlamydomonadales; Volvocaceae
Description: long non-coding RNA (VCAR_LNC000169)
Source: RNAcentral